GACGAACGCUGGCGGCGUGCCUAAUACAUGCAAGUUGAGCGCUGAAGGUUGGUACUUGUACCAACUGGAUGAGCAGCGAACGGGUGAGUAACGCGUGGGGAAUCUGCCUUUGAGCGGGGGACAACAUUUGGAAACGAAUGCUAAUACCGCAUAAAAACUUUAAACACAAGUUUUAAGUUUGAAAGAUGCAAUUGCAUCACUCAAAGAUGAUCCCGCGUUGUAUUAGCUAGUUGGUGAGGUAAAGGCUCACCAAGGCGAUGAUACAUAGCCGACCUGAGAGGGUGAUCGGCCACAUUGGGACUGAGACACGGCCCAAACUCCUACGGGAGGCAGCAGUAAGGAAUCUUCGGCAAUGGACGAAAGUCUGACCGAGCAACGCCGCGUGAGUGAAGAAGCUUUUCGGAUCGUAAAACUCUGUUGGUAGAGAAGAACGUUGGUGAGAGUGGAAAGCUCAUCAAGUGACGGUAACUACCCAGAAAGGGACGGCUAACUACGUG
Molecule: ribosomal RNA, 497 nt
Filed under: uncultured bacterium
Lineage: Bacteria
Description: partial 16S ribosomal RNA
Rfam family: Bacterial small subunit ribosomal RNA
Source: RNAcentral